AAAGUCCUAAGCACGGCACUGGUC
Molecule: non-coding RNA, 24 nt
Filed under: Arabidopsis thaliana (thale cress)
Lineage: Eukaryota; Viridiplantae; Streptophyta; Magnoliopsida; Brassicales; Brassicaceae
Source: RNAcentral